GUGCUCGCUUUUGGCAGCACAUAUGCUAAAAUUGGAAGGAUACAGAGAAGAUGAGCAUGGCCCCUGUGCAAGGGUGACACGCAACGUCAUAAAGUGUUCCAUGUUUUU
Molecule: small nuclear RNA, 108 nt
Organism: Phacochoerus africanus (Common warthog)
Lineage: Eukaryota; Metazoa; Chordata; Mammalia; Artiodactyla; Suidae
Source: RefSeq, a predicted model, not a curated record